UUCCAACUGCAGGAUGUGUUUACUUCUCU
This 29-nucleotide non-coding RNA is filed under the name Homo sapiens (human). Lineage: Eukaryota; Metazoa; Chordata; Mammalia; Primates; Hominidae. The record is from RNAcentral.